Molecule: transfer RNA, 92 nt
Filed under: Pseudomonas extremaustralis
Lineage: Bacteria; Pseudomonadati; Pseudomonadota; Gammaproteobacteria; Pseudomonadales; Pseudomonadaceae
Description: tRNA-Thr
Source: RNAcentral
GGCGUCGAUGGCCAGGUUGACCUACGCUCGGCGCUGGUGGCGCUGGCGGCCCGUGGCGUCAAUGAAGUGCUGGUGGAAGCCGGCCCAAGCCU